GAGACUAAAAUUUAAUUAAAGUUUUAGAGUGGGGCUAACCCACUUUAACCCUGACCCUAACCCACUUGAGAGGGGGCUUUGGGGGUUGGGGCUUUUUUCUGGCCCCCUACUUAAGGGGCUUCUUAAAAUAGGGCUUUUUCAAUAGUGGGUUAGGGCUGGCCUUGGAGCCAUGGGUUAAAUUGACACCUCUAAUAGUAAGAUUAUGCAAAGUGUCGUAUAAAAGUCGAAAUCUUAAGCCAACAAAAAGACAUACUACAUUUGAGAAAAACACUACAUUAUUAGCAUUAUGUCUCUGUCAUGAAAUAGGCACAAAAUAUGAUUUUAACAUUGAAUUAGUAAGAAUUGCAUAAAAUAAGAAUGAUGAUAGAAAAGAAAACACAAAAACACAGGCUAAUCACAUCAUCUAAUUGAAAGAGGGUACAUAACAAGUCCAAUGAUUUAAUAGUGAAUUACUUGGACACUAUUGAUUGAUAGGCAUCUCACGAGCAGAACCAAACAACCAACAGUUGUUACAAGUUACAACCUACAAAAGAAAGACUGAUUGAAGCAAACAGUUCAGUAUUGGUAUUCUACAUAAUGGAAUUUGACAAGAAAAAGACUCUGAAAGAUCACUGGUUUUUUCCCUCCAUCAUCCAGAAAUGAAAGAAUCACCUAGAAGGGGACUUGGACUGUGAUCAUUCACAAAAUUUUCAACUUUCUAAGCUGAUUUUCAAAUCAAACACAACUUGGUGUUCAUAGUGCUAAAGCUAUAGAUUCGCUUGAAGGAAUUUCGUAACUGUAUAAUUUCACAAAUAAACCUUCUUAAAAACCUUGUAGAAGA
Molecule: long non-coding RNA, 820 nt
Filed under: Vigna radiata
Lineage: Eukaryota; Viridiplantae; Streptophyta; Magnoliopsida; Fabales; Fabaceae
Description: long non-coding RNA (VRAD_LNC016581)
Source: RNAcentral